Molecule: ribosomal RNA, 465 nt
Filed under: Vreelandella stevensii
Lineage: Bacteria; Pseudomonadati; Pseudomonadota; Gammaproteobacteria; Oceanospirillales; Halomonadaceae
Description: partial 16S ribosomal RNA
Rfam family: Bacterial small subunit ribosomal RNA
Source: RNAcentral
CCUACGGGUGGCUGCAGUGGGGAAUAUUGGACAAUGGGCGAAAGCCUGAUCCAGCCAUGCCGCGUGUGUGAAGAAGGCCUUCGGGUUGUAAAGCACUUUCAGUGGGGAAGAAAGCCUUGGGGCUAAUACCCUCGAGGAAGGACAUCACCCACAGAAGAAGCACCGGCUAACUCCGUGCCAGCAGCCGCGGUAAUACGGAGGGUGCGAGCGUUAAUCGGAAUUACUGGGCGUAAAGCGCGCGUAGGCGGUCUGAUAAGCCGGUUGUGAAAGCCCCGGGCGCAACCUGGGAACGGCAUCCGGAACUGUCAGGCUAGAGUGCAGGAGAGGAAGGUAGAAUUCCCGGUGUAGCGGUGAAAUGCGUAGAGAUCGGGAGGAAUACCAGUGGCGAAGGCGGCCUUCUGGACUGACACUGACGCUGAGGUGCGAAAGCGUGGGUAGCAAACAGGAUUAGAUACCCCAGUAGUC